This 202-nucleotide ribosomal RNA is filed under the name uncultured bacterium. RNAcentral describes it as "partial 16S ribosomal RNA". It matches the Rfam family "Bacterial small subunit ribosomal RNA", at positions 1299 to 1500 of the family's 1533-position model. The record is from RNAcentral.
UGCAGGCUGCAACUCGCCUGCGUCAAGUUGGAAUUGCUAGUAAUCGCGGAUCAGCAUGCCGCGGUGAAUACGUUCCCGGGCCUUGUACACACCGCCCGUCACACCAUGAGAGUCGGGAACACCCGAAGUCCGUAGUCUAACCGCAAGGAGGGCGCGGCCGAAGGUGGGUUCGAUAAUUGGGGUGAAGUCGUAACAAGGUACC